RNAcentral lists this ribosomal RNA (576 nucleotides) under Oceanobacillus kimchii. RNAcentral describes it as "bacterial SSU rRNA". It matches the Rfam family "Bacterial small subunit ribosomal RNA", at positions 75 to 637 of the family's 1533-position model. The record is from RNAcentral. Lineage: Bacteria; Bacillati; Bacillota; Bacilli; Caryophanales; Bacillaceae.
AGGUGACGAUAAUGGAAUGAGCGGCGGACGGGUGAGUAACACGUAGGCAACCUGCCUGUAAGACUGGGAUAACUCGUGGAAACGCGAGCUAAUACCGGAUAACACUUUUCAUCUCCUGAUGAGAAGUUGAAAGGCGGCUUUUGCUGUCACUUACAGAUGGGCCUGCGGCGCAUUAGCUAGUUGGUAAGGUAACGGCUUACCAAGGCGACGAUGCGUAGCCGACCUGAGAGGGUGAUCGGCCACACUGGGACUGAGACACGGCCCAGACUCCUACGGGAGGCAGCAGUAGGGAAUCUUCCGCAAUGGACGAAAGUCUGACGGAGCAACGCCGCGUGAGUGAUGAAGGUUUUCGGAUCGUAAAACUCUGUUGUUAGGGAAGAACAAGUGCCAUAGUAACUGAUGGCACCUUGACGGUACCUAACCAGAAAGCCACGGCUAACUACGUGCCAGCAGCCGCGGUAAUACGUAGGUGGCAAGCGUUGUCCGGAAUUAUUGGGCGUAAAGCGCUCGCAGGCGGUUCUUUAAGUCUGAUGUGAAAUCUUACGGCUCAACCGUAAACGUGCAUUGGAAACUGGA